UCAGGCAUUCAUAAAAAACAUUGUGAUUGCAUCAUAGCUGUCUUAAAGCAUUAAUAAUGGCUUAUAGGAACUGGUUUUCGAUUCCCGCCGUCAGAGCUGAUGACGAAGAGGACUUAGUUGACCCGCAAGCAGUUUUACGGGAAAAAUGUCAAGCUAAAGGUCACAUAGAAUCUUUGUACAAUAAGUACCAAGAGUGUAAUGAUCGUGUGAAUGGGCGAUCCAAAACAACUGAGACUUGCAUCGAGGAAUUAUUUGACUAUGUUGCUGAGUUAGAUCAUUGCGUUUCCCAUAGUCUCUUUACAAAGCUAAAGUAAAUACCAUUAAAGUCAAUUCUAUUAAAGGAAAGGGCAGUGCUUAAAAUAAGAACAUAAAUAAACAAAUCUCUUUAUCGAGUUUUAUACGUGUUUUGUACCAUUUGGUGAUUAGAAGCGAAAUUGGUACAUUAAAACUUCACUUACUGCCUGCCUAUGAUAAGCCCAAAGCUGUUCCAUAGCGCUCAAAGAAGCCGGAUUCUAAAAAAUCGGAUUUUGGAAAUUUAAAAGCUGGAACGUUUGCCCAUUUUUGCCGUUGCCAUCGUGAGAAUGCGGACUAUGCAUUUAUGCAAUGCGAAUGCGCUGCAAAUGUGUGUAUUUAUAAUACAUUUAAGUAUUUGUACUGAGUACAGUAAUAUGAGUACCUGAGUACACUCAAUAUCUUCCACAUACCACAUCUUCCUCCUUUUGCUAAAAAAAAACGUAACUUAUUUUUAUUAAAUUUUUUUUCAUGAA
RNA transcript from Drosophila sechellia, 767 nucleotides. It is a transcript of the gene named Ubiquinol-cytochrome c reductase 11 kDa subunit, with no coding region annotated. The transcript has 4 exons. Lineage: Eukaryota; Metazoa; Arthropoda; Insecta; Diptera; Drosophilidae. The record is from RefSeq and is a predicted model, not a curated record.